Molecule: long non-coding RNA, 1679 nt
Organism: Pyrus x bretschneideri (Chinese white pear)
Lineage: Eukaryota; Viridiplantae; Streptophyta; Magnoliopsida; Rosales; Rosaceae
Exons: 2
Source: RefSeq, a predicted model, not a curated record
AGUAAGACAAAUUCAGAUUUCAAGAGAUUCAAGAUGAACUAGGUUCGAAGAAUUAUACACUUUCGGAGCUAUGUUGCACAUAUAUGAUGACACCGCAAAUUUAAAAAAUAAGAGCACAGACACGGCAAUUAAAAUAUAAUAAAUUUAGAAUGUUGUUAGACUCAUCAUAGUGUCCUAUUUUCUCACUUACAUUAUAAUCUCACCCAUCAUAAAAGAUUUAAAAAUUGAAAUGUCAUUUCCCCACCCACCAUUAUUUCAAAAUAACCAAUAUUUAUUUAUUUAAAAUAACUCUAGCAUAUCUUUAAAUAAUAAUAAAAUAAAUAAAAAUAAAAAAUGAAGGAAAAUCUGAGACCCAAGACCUAGACCUUCAUCAUAUUCUUCAAAUCACGGCACCCCUUCCAUCGUAUUUCUUCCUACAGACAGAUCCAAAAUUCGUUGCCCGAUCUCUCUCCAUAUCCCCACCCUCUAUUUCCACCGAAUUCCAUAUAUAUGGCCCAAUACUCCCCCUCGACAAACCUCAGUACUCGCACCUAUUGUUGCCUCUCGCAGGGAUCCGAGAUCCCAAACCUUUCUUCUUCCUACCUUUUUUCCAACGCCGCAUAUCUUACCCCCAGGUCUCUCUUUCCUCCGUCGAAGUUUCUUGCCUCUGUCGAGCACACACCCAUUCCUUCCUCUUCUACCCCCAAUCUUUCCCUCAGCCUCUCUCCGCCCACAUCUUACACCCCUCCCACCAUUUUUUAUUUAUUAUUUUAAAUUACUUUUUGGUUUUUUCAAAAUUUUAGUAAUUAAUUAGAUUGGAGUUUCAAAGUCUUUUCUUAAAAGAUAAAUAUGUCAUUCAGGGUAUGGAUGUCAGCACCAUAAAUAUGUCCCUUCAGACUUGCUUUUACGUGUCAAUUUUCUACAUAAAUCCACUUUGGCCGCUUAAUCUUCCAUUUUGUUUUCGCUUCGUUUCUUCCUUCCACACUCACUCUCUCUCUCUCUCUCUCCCUCUCUCUGACCACUCGAUAAAUAUGUCAGACAGUUCGGGUGUCCGACACUCCGGGGUUUCAGGGUGUCCGAGGGUUUCGGGGUUUCGGAGUGUCCGUGCAGCAUAGCUUGACAGUCUCUAUAAUUGCUUAAAUUUCACUCGACAAGUGACUGCAGGUUGGUUUCCCUCCCAUGGACGUGUCCGCAUAAUCUCCUCGAGCGUCUUAUUAUCAGACGGAGUUGCUUGAACAACCUGGAGCGUCUUAUCAUCAGACGGAGUUGCCUGAGUUGCUGCUUGAACGGCCUGGAGCGUCUUAUCAUCAGACGGAGUUGCCUGAGUUGCCUGAACGGCCUGGAGCGUCUUAUCAUCAGACGGCGUUGCAUGAGCGGCCUUUUUAUUUGACUUUGUUUUCACCAUGACGCUGAAACAGGUACGUGUCAAAACCAAUCGGGACAAGCUUUUUAUAUAACUUAAUUGGAGUGUUAAAACAAUGACAGAUAGUCACAUACAACCAUCAAUCUAAGUCCUUGUAGUCAUAAUAGCAACCCCACUUUCAUUACACAGUUUAUCAAAAACGCAUGAUCGAUCUCGGAGAAUUUAUGGGACAAGGCUUAGUGGGGUGGUUGUUGUAUCAAAUGGUGUAAAAUUAAUCUCGUAAAUAUUUACGUGGAUAGUUUUUGUUGAUAUAUAUACAUUGAAGUCUUUGAUAAUA